Molecule: transfer RNA, 68 nt
Filed under: Eurysternus inflexus
Lineage: Eukaryota; Metazoa; Arthropoda; Insecta; Coleoptera; Scarabaeidae
Description: tRNA-Ala
Source: RNAcentral
AGGGUAAUAGUUAAUAAUAACAUUUAAUUUGCACUUAAAAAGUAUUGAUAAAUAAUCAAUUUACCUUA